GAACAUCCCUUUCCGCAAGGACUGCUGCGGAGGUGCUGCAUGGCUGUCGUCAGCUCGUGUCGUGAGAUGUUGGGUUAAGUCCCGCAACGAGCGCAACCCUUAUCGUUAGUUGCCAUCAGGUCAAGCUGGGCACUCUAGCGAAACCGCCUCGGAUAACGGGGAGGAAGGUGGGGAUGACGUCAAGUCCUCAUGGCCUUUAUGUCCAGGGCUACACACGUGCUACAAUGGUCGGUACAAACCGUCGCAAACCCGCGAGGGGGAGCUAAUCGGAAAAAGCCGGCCUCAGUUCGGAUUGGAGUCUGCAACUCGACUCCAUGAAGCUGGAAUCGCUAGUAAUCGCAGAUCAGAACGCUGCGGUGAAUACGUUCCCGGGCCUUGUACACACCGCCCGUCACAUCACGAAAGUGGGUGAUACUAGAAGCCGUCCCGCCAACCCGCAAGGGGGGCAGACGUCCAAGGUAUGACUCAUGAUUGGGGUGAAGUCGUAACAAGGUAACCGUAA
RNAcentral lists this ribosomal RNA (502 nucleotides) under uncultured Acidobacteriota bacterium. RNAcentral's name for it is "bacterial SSU rRNA". It matches the Rfam family "Bacterial small subunit ribosomal RNA", at positions 1005 to 1505 of the family's 1533-position model. The record is from RNAcentral. Lineage: Bacteria; Pseudomonadati; Acidobacteriota.